RNAcentral lists this small RNA (633 nucleotides) under Pongo abelii (Sumatran orangutan). RNAcentral describes it as "processed transcript". Lineage: Eukaryota; Metazoa; Chordata; Mammalia; Primates; Hominidae. The record is from RNAcentral.
AGGAGGUCAUCUUUUCUCUGCUGAUAGGUAGUGCCAGUGUCAAGUCACCAGAGGCUCUUUCAGAGUUCUCCACUCUGGAUGCGUCUGUCGUUAUUGAGCAGCUUUAGAGUAGUUCCCACGCUAGAUAUAUGAUUGGAUGCCUGAACAACCAAAUAUAUUCCAAGUGGAGCAAUUGGAACGCCUGAAGCAAGAAUUGCCAGAGCUUAAGAGCUGUUUGUGUCCCACUGUUAGCCGCUUUGUUCCCUCAUCUUUGUGUGGGGAGUCUGAUAUCCAUGUGGAUGCCAACGGCAUUGAUAACGUGGAGAAUGCUUAGUUUUUAUUGCACAGAGGUCAUUUUGGGGGCAUGCACCGCUGUUCUGGGUAUUCAUUUUUCAUCACUGAGCAUCGCUGAUCUAUGCCUUUUGGGCUUCUCAGUUCAAUGAAGCAAUAAUGAAGUAUUUAACUCUUUCACUACAGUUCUUGCAAGUAUGCUAUUUCAAUUACUUGGCCAGGUAUAAUUGCCAGUCAGUCUCUUUAUAGUGAGAAAAUUUAUUGGUUAGUAAUAUAAAUAUUUUAAAUUAAAUAUAUAAAUCUAUAAUGUUAAACAUAUGUUCAUUAAAAGCAUAGCACUUUGAAAUUAACUAUAUAAAUAGC